UGGUUUCAUGAUCGCGCCGGUGUCCCGAGAGGGACUUAAUAGGGAAUGCGGUGCGGGCGGUUCCGAUCGCCCAAAUCCGCGGCUGUCCCUGCAACUGUAAGCGGUGAGCGAGACGCAUAUCGUCGGUCCCGAUAUUCGGGGCAGGCAGCCACUGGGCCGGACGCUAAAUCAUGCGAGGCCUGGGAAGGCCGUGCAUCAAGCUGUGACCCGCGAGCCAGGAGACCUGCCAGCGUCUGGUCGCUCUU
Molecule: non-coding RNA, 245 nt
Filed under: Sphingomonas sp.
Lineage: Bacteria; Pseudomonadati; Pseudomonadota; Alphaproteobacteria; Sphingomonadales; Sphingomonadaceae
Also listed under: 1 other name
Source: RNAcentral